This 453-nucleotide ribosomal RNA is filed under the name uncultured Geobacter sp. RNAcentral describes it as "bacterial SSU rRNA". It matches the Rfam family "Bacterial small subunit ribosomal RNA", at positions 929 to 1382 of the family's 1533-position model. The record is from RNAcentral. Lineage: Bacteria; Pseudomonadati; Thermodesulfobacteriota; Desulfuromonadia; Geobacterales; Geobacteraceae.
GCGGUGGAGCAUGUGGUUAAUUCGAAGCAACGCGGAGAACCUUACCAGGCCUUGACAUGCUAGGGAACCCGGUGAAAGCCUGGGGUGCCCGCGAGGGAGCCCUAGCACAGGUGCUGCAUGGCUGUCGUCAGCUCGUGUCGUGAGAUGUUGGGUUAAGUCCCGCAACGAGCGCAACCCUCGCCUUUAGUUGCCAGCAUUCAGUUGGGCACUCUAGAGGGACUGCCGGUGUCAAACCGGAGGAAGUGGGGAUGACGUCAAGUCCUCAUGGCCCUUAUGACCAGGGCUACACACGUGCUACAAUGGCCGGUACAAAGAGUUGCGAUACCGCGAGGUGGAGCUAAUCUCAUAAAGCCGGUCUCAGUUCGGAUUGGAGUCUGCAACUCGACUCCAUGAAGUUGGAAUCGCUAGUAAUCGCGGAUCAGCACGUCGCGGUCGAAUACGUUCCCGGGCCUU